GAAGCUGGAGGCAGGCCUAACACAUGCAAGUCGAACCGGGCAGCCAUAAGCUUGCUUCUUUGCUGACGAGUGGCGGACGGGUGAGUAAUGUCUGGGAAACUGCCUGAUGGAGGGGGAUAACUACUGGAAACGGUAGCUAAUACCGCAUAACGUCGCAAGACCAAAGAGGGGGACCUUCGGGCCUCUUGCCAUCGGAUGUGCCCAGAUGGGAUUAGCUUGUUGGUGGGGUAACGGCUCACCUAGGCGACGAUCCCUAGCUGGUCUGAGAGGAUGACCAGCCACACUGGAACUGAGACACGGUCCAGACUCCUACGGGAGGCAGCAGUGGGGAAUAUUGCACAAUGGGCGCAAGCCUGAUGCAGCCAUGCCGCGUGUAUGAAGAAGGCCUUCGGGUUGUAAAGUACUUUCAGCGGGGAGGAAGGGAGUAAAGUUAAUACCUUUGCUCAUUGACGUUACCCGCAGAAGAAGCACCGGCUAACUCCGUGCCAGCAGCCGCGGUAAUACGGAGGGUGCAAGCGUUAAUCGGAAUUACUGGGCGUAAAGCGCACGCAGGCGGUUUGUUAAGUCAGAUGUGAAAUCCCCGGGCUCAACCUGGGAACUGCAUUUGAAACUGGCAAGCUUGAGUCUCGUAAAA
This 634-nucleotide ribosomal RNA is filed under the name Escherichia coli. RNAcentral describes it as "bacterial SSU rRNA". It matches the Rfam family "Bacterial small subunit ribosomal RNA", at positions 32 to 656 of the family's 1533-position model. Lineage: Bacteria; Pseudomonadati; Pseudomonadota; Gammaproteobacteria; Enterobacterales; Enterobacteriaceae. The record is from RNAcentral.